This 594-nucleotide long non-coding RNA is filed under the name Olea europaea subsp. europaea. The record is from RNAcentral. Lineage: Eukaryota; Viridiplantae; Streptophyta; Magnoliopsida; Lamiales; Oleaceae.
CGAAGUUGAGGCUAGAUCCUACAAUGUUGACCUACCCAGAUUUUGUGUAAAAAUGUUCCAAGAAAGUCAGUUUGAUAGACUUGAUGAAGGUUGAUUGAGAAAGCCAAUUUUAGCCGUUUUGAUGAAAAUAGGUUUCACAAAGAAACACUGUAAAAGAUCAGAGGAAGAUCGUUUAUCCUUCAACAAAAUUGAGGUAAAUCCUUACCCUUUCCCAAGCAUUUCAGUAAUUGCCAUACCCAUCGCUGGGGAAAGUUUACCUAAAGUGUUAAUCAACAGAGGAAGCUCUCUUAAUAUCCUAUAUGUCAAAACCCUCAAGUGGAUGGGAAUUCCUAUGCAUUUUUUGCAAUAAUACCCAAAUUAAAUCCUUGGAUUGAAAUAGAGCUUUGAUGAUGCUGAAAGAAAAAAAAAUCAAGCUUACUAUGGAGGUUGAGAAAAUUCCCCUUUGGCUAAAGUUAUCGCUCAAUUUGUUAUAUUGGACUCUGCCUUGCCAUAAGACACGAUUUUAGGACAAUCUUUACUUUUUGAUUAAGAACAAUUGUCUCAAUGACUUCCCAAUGAUUUAUGGAGUAGAAGAGAUCAAAGGCAACAAAAAAA